Molecule: non-coding RNA, 29 nt
Filed under: Rattus norvegicus (Norway rat)
Lineage: Eukaryota; Metazoa; Chordata; Mammalia; Rodentia; Muridae
Source: RNAcentral
UGACACCCACAUUAGCACAGCGGCCUGUC